This 492-nucleotide ribosomal RNA is filed under the name uncultured bacterium. Its description in RNAcentral is "partial 16S ribosomal RNA". It matches the Rfam family "Bacterial small subunit ribosomal RNA", at positions 29 to 507 of the family's 1533-position model. The record is from RNAcentral.
AGUGAACGCUGGCGGUAGGCCUAACACAUGCAAGUCGAACGGCAGCACAGUAAGAGCUUGCUCUUACGGGUGGCGAGUGGCGGACGGGUGAGGAAUACCUCGGAAUCUACUUUUUCGUGGGGGAUAACGUAGGGAAACUUACGCUAAUACCGCAUACGACCUACGGGUGAAAGCAGGGGAUCUUCGGACCUUGCGCGAUUGAAUGAGCCGAUGUCGGAUUAGCCAGUUGGCGGGGUAAAGGCCCGCCAAGGCGACGAUCCGUAGCUGGUCUGAGAGGAUGAUCAGCAACACUGGAACUGAGACACGGUCCAGACUCCUACGGGAGGCAGCAGUGGGGAAUAUUGGACAAGGGGCGCAAGCCUGAUCCAGCCAUACCGCGUGGGUGAAGAAGGCCUUCGGGUUGUAAAGCCCUUUUGUUGGGAAAGAAAAGCAGCAGGUUAAUACCCCGCUGUUCUGACGGUACCCAAAGAAUAAGCACCGGCUAACUUCGUG